AAAAGGGUUUUGUUGGUCUGCGGAAAAUGUAAGAAAACAGACCUUGAAAAAGUCCCUCUGAUGAAGUCGACGUGCAUGACUUGUCUGAUAAUAACUUGGAAUCAUAACAAGCAGCAAGUGCAUAAUGAAUUUUCUAGUUGCUCGGAUAUCCUUUACUUUUUAAUACAUUGCAUUUAUAUAUAUAUAUAUAAUAUAUGUACAUGUAUAUGUGUACACAUAUGUUUAACAGACAGACAAGCUCGGGACGUCAGCAGACUUGGUGAGUCAUAGGUCAGAGAAGGGAAGAAAACAAAAGAUUUAAAAAAACUUGGGAACGGUUUACUGGUGAGCAUUAUGAUGUUAAUGUAAAUAUAUAUAACCAACAAGGAAAACGUUGGGGUAAAAUGUUGGCAAGGCGCUUUGAGGUCUUCAGGUCAGGAUGUUUUUAACAUUAGGAUAAAAAAAGUAUAAACUUUUUAAUCGGAGACUGCGGAUCUAGAUCCCGAUCUCCAGACAGUCAUGACGGAGUAAUGAAGCAGAUCCUCUGGCUUUGCUUUUAUAUUACUCAGAGAUAUUGUCCGACAAGAUACAUAUAUAUGCGUGCCAGAGUCCACAUACGGAAAUCAGGGUCGCGUGACCGUAGACCCUGACCGCUGGAAGCCAAUGCCAUGUGAUUCUCGUGACUUUAUGCACUGGAGUUUGUCCUUCGUGAUGGUAUAUAUGUAUAAAUGCUGGAGAAUCUCCGAGGAUAAUUUACAAACUAAAUGCUAAUGGCUUUUGAGAUUUUUAAAAAUAAAAAAAAGUACGCGAAUUUCUUCUCGACGAAAUUUAAUGACCGAAUUUCAGCCGUAAAGAAAUUUAAUUUAAUUUUUUUACUUUAGUCCUGGAGAAGGACAUCGAGUUUUGAGGUAAAAAUCGUUUGAAUGUCUGUAGGACAAGCAAUAAAAAUACUGGUUUGAUUUUUAUUAGUACGAGUUUAGAAUGUCUGGGUAUUAAAAGAAAUCCAAUCUUUGGAGUAUAAGUAAAAAAGCGGCUGCGACGUCGCCGGAUAAAUUAGUAAGUGAAUAGAAAUUUAAAUAACAAUAUUUUAAUUUAAAUGCCUGUACACUAAAGAAUGUCAUUGUCGGAGAGAUAUAAUCUUGUCUUUGGUGUCUUUGAGGAAACCAAGAGAUUUUUCAUGUCAGUAGAGCGGACGAACGAAAAAGUUUGUCGGAAUAAAUGAGAGGCUUUGACUGUCGUAUGAACAAAAAAUAUGUAAUAAUAAUAAAACAAGUGUGUAUGUAGUGGGUACUGUAAAAAAAUGAAAAUGCUUUAAAUCACCCGUGGGAAUGUUUCUGGCACCGAAAAUUAUUUCACAUGUCUUGGAGGAAUUACGCUAGAGGAUAUUCAUCGUGACUUGGCACGCAAAUCUAUCGUUUGCGUAAAGUGAGAAAAGUUAAUUCACGAAACCGAGUGAUGGAGGGCAAGAACUCAAACCGGCCGAAGAAAUAUUAAAUUUAAGUAUACAUUUGUGUUAAAAAAAAGUCAACAAUCUCUCAACACCAAUUUCUCCAAAGCAAACUUUAUGUUAAACUCAAAAUUUAAUAUAAAUAAAUUUAAAAUCUUGUUGAAAGUAAUAAAUAUAUCCGGAAUUACUUGUGACGCUACUUUAAAUUCCUGUGAAAGGUCAUCAUCAUCUUGAUCGUCGUCAUCAUCAUCUUGAUCGUCGUCAUCAUCACCACAGCCACAAUCAUACAUAUGAACUUGUCGUAUAAUCUCACGCUUUUGAAGACAGCUAUACUCUGAUGAGAAAAAAAAAUAAAGUAAAACUCAUGCAUACGUUCAUUUCAUGGUGUAAUUUAUAGAACAAUCAUACAGGAGACUGGAUGUAUGUCUCCACCUCUUCAUUCAGACAACUACAUUAAACAAUAACAACAAUAAUGAUAAUGACAACAUCAACAACAGCAGCAGCAGCAGAAAGAAGAAAUGAUGCAAUGAAAAUUAUGCAAGUGCGUGAUACUGCUUUCUCAAUUUAUAGUUUUUCAAUAUAUGUAACAUUUUAAUGAUACAUUAUUUUACGAAAAUCGUUACGCUGAAAAAACUUAUUACUGAUAUUAAAAUAAUAUCACAUCUGCAAAAGUUUAAUGCAACAUUUGUAAAAAUUUCGUAUCCGUUUUUGCGCAAGCUCAAAUUUAUCGUAAGUCGGGUGUUUUCGGGGUUUACUCCCACUCUGGAUUAAAUUUUCUCCCACUUUUCCUAGCGCAUGCGCGCAGUAAAUAAAUAAUCGGUAGUGGGGGACUUCCAAAGUUCAUUCUCUCUUGGGAUCAAGUUUAGUCAACUCAC
This is a long non-coding RNA of Microplitis mediator, 2301 nucleotides long. RefSeq lists it as uncharacterized. The record is from RefSeq and is a predicted model, not a curated record. The transcript is spliced from 3 exons. NCBI's taxonomy places the organism in Eukaryota, Metazoa, Arthropoda, Insecta, Hymenoptera, Braconidae.